GCGAAGCAUCGGAACUUUACAAAGAAGACGACCGAAAAGCCGUUCGACUUCGCAUGAAAGUACCGACGCCGAGCUGGCGCGGCGAGUCGCGACCACUGUGGCGAGGAAAAGUCCGGCCGAACAGACCACGCUCGAGAGCACGCUCGACACGAGUCCUCCAACGCGUCUCGUCCGAACUUACCCACGGUACUUCG
This 194-nucleotide ribosomal RNA is filed under the name Macrohomotoma robusta. RNAcentral's name for it is "partial 28S ribosomal RNA". The record is from RNAcentral. Lineage: Eukaryota; Metazoa; Arthropoda; Insecta; Hemiptera; Carsidaridae.